AUGCAAACCAAUCAUCAAGUUUAUGAAAAAAGUGCUAGAAAUAGAACAGGUGAACCAAGUCAUAGAACACAACUUUUCAACCUUAAAAACAACAAUUGGAUUACAGUUACAAUCACUGGAAGCAAAUUCAUAGCUUUUUUUGUAGAUUACCAAACACAAAAUAAUUCAUUGAUUAAAAUUUCACAUAGAACAAAUCAGCAUAUAUACCAAUAA
Vicia faba (fava bean) is the source of this 213-nucleotide non-coding RNA. The record is from the annotation of a GenBank genome assembly. NCBI's taxonomy places the organism in Eukaryota, Viridiplantae, Streptophyta, Magnoliopsida, Fabales, Fabaceae.